CCCAUCCACCCAUUCACGAUAAAUCAAGAAUAUAUAACGACGACCCACUCUCUCUCUCAUUGUCUAUAUUUGUUUCCACUUUGAGCCAACCAAGCUGAUAUACCAGAGAGAAAAAGAUAAUAUGGCUCUCAGAAUGUGGGCUUCUUCAACAGCUAAUGCACUUUGAAUCUCUUGCGGCACCAAGGCCCCUCUCUCAAGAUGCUUCUCUUUUGAUAUUGUAUUCUUUCUUUGAACUCCUAAUUAACUGUUUGGCUUCUGUGUGUGUUUACAGAACAAACUACAAUAAGGACCUCUGCUUCCAACUCUAUUUCAUCAAAUGGGUCUUCUAAGAUUUUGAGUUACUUCAUUUAGUUCAUUCACCUGAUUUUGGGCUGUUUUGUUUCAAUUUUUGACCUUAAUAAGGGCAAAGAUAUGUUUGAAUUUAUUUGAAGUUUGGUAUAUUCGCAGUUUUGGAUGGAUUGAAAUAUGCCACCUCCCAUGAAUGGGUGAAGCAUGAAGGCCUAGUGGCUACAGUUGGCAUCACCGAUUAUG
This is a long non-coding RNA of Telopea speciosissima, 531 nucleotides long. RefSeq lists it as uncharacterized. Lineage: Eukaryota; Viridiplantae; Streptophyta; Magnoliopsida; Proteales; Proteaceae. The transcript is spliced from 3 exons. The record is from RefSeq and is a predicted model, not a curated record.